RNAcentral lists this ribosomal RNA (469 nucleotides) under uncultured bacterium. RNAcentral's name for it is "partial 16S ribosomal RNA". It matches the Rfam family "Bacterial small subunit ribosomal RNA", at positions 28 to 507 of the family's 1533-position model. The record is from RNAcentral.
GACGAACGCUGGCGGCGUGCUUAACACAUGCAAGUCGAACGGUGAAGCGAGUGCUUGCACUCGUGGAUCAGUGGCGAACGGGUGAGUAACACGUGAGUAACCUGCCCAUCACUCUGGGAUAAGCACUGGAAACGGUGUCUAAUACUGGAUACGACCAACCCUUGCAUGGGGUGUUGGUGGAAAGAUUUAUCGGUGCUGGAUGGACUCGCGGCCUAUCAGCUUGUUGGCGGGGUAAUGGCCCACCAAGGCGACGACGGGUAGCCGGCCUGAGAGGGUGACCGGCCACACUGGGACUGAGACACGGCCCAGACUCCUACGGGAGGCAGCAGUGGGGAAUAUUGCACAAUGGGCGAAAGCCUGAUGCAGCGACGCCGCGUGAGGGAUGACGGCCUUCGGGUUGUAAACCUCUUUCAGCAGGGAAGAAGCGAAAGUGACGGUACCUGCAGAAGAAGCACCGGCUAACUACGUG